GGGGGCGUUGGGCAUCGACGGUAAAGCCGACGAUUGUUCGCAAGCCGAGGCGGCCUCAGUCCUCGUAAAUAGAUGGGGCAAAUUAAUAAGUGCCAACUUGUUAUCAAAAGCAAAAGCAAUGUUAGCCUCCGCCUUCGGUGGUGGCUGUUGCCUCGCUCCGACUUUGGCCUAAGGGCCACAAGUCCAUCGUCCGCGUAAGCUUCCGUAGCGCGAUCGCGGUGUAACCCACGGAAGGUAGUUUGCAUGUGUUGCCGAUCGCCUGCAAAUGAAAUUCAAUCGGCUAGGCCCGUACGGCUUUUGCGUCUUUUAUACGGCCGGGUCAAAAAAAAUAAAAACGCUAAGCUUGUAGACGGCAGUAGUCACUCUUAUCGGACGCGAGUUCAACUCUCGCCGCCUCCACAC
RNAcentral lists this transfer-messenger RNA (402 nucleotides) under Patescibacteria group. RNAcentral describes it as "XYD2-FULL-41-14 sp001784475 Standard tmRNA". It matches the Rfam family "transfer-messenger RNA". Rfam says of the family: Bacterial tmRNA, also known as 10Sa RNA or SsrA, is named for its dual tRNA and mRNA-like properties. Its role is to liberate the mRNA from a stalled ribosome. RNAcentral also lists the same sequence under 1 other name. The record is from RNAcentral.